UAGCCCGGCGACCACCGACGCGGAGCCAGGUGGGGAGGCCGCAGGGCAGGACCGGCGCCGCUGUCGCGGGGAGCUCGGACUUGUACA
This 87-nucleotide small RNA is filed under the name Heterocephalus glaber (naked mole-rat). Its description in RNAcentral is "GRIK4 3 prime UTR element". It matches the Rfam family "GRIK4 3 prime UTR element". Lineage: Eukaryota; Metazoa; Chordata; Mammalia; Rodentia; Bathyergidae. The record is from Rfam by way of RNAcentral.